GCAUAUGGUGACUGUGUGUGGGGCAUCUUCGGAUGCGCCGGGUUAGUGAGACCGGUCCGUCAACCUGCGCACAGUUGCCACCCAU
Molecule: non-coding RNA, 85 nt
Filed under: Pseudomonas sp. Z003-0.4C(8344-21)
Lineage: Bacteria; Pseudomonadati; Pseudomonadota; Gammaproteobacteria; Pseudomonadales; Pseudomonadaceae
Source: RNAcentral